AUUGAACGCUGGCGGCAUGCCUUACACAUGCAAGUCGAACGGUAACAGGUCUUCGGAUGCUGACGAGUGGCGAACGGGUGAGUAAUACAUCGGAACGUGCCCGAUCGUGGGGGAUAACGAGGCGAAAGCUUUGCUAAUACCGCAUACGAUCUACGGAUGAAAGCGGGGGAUCUUCGGACCUCGCGCGGACGGAGCGGCCGAUGGCAGAUUAGGUAGUUGGUGGGAUAAAAGCUUACCAAGCCGACGAUCUGUAGCUGGUCUGAGAGGAUGAUCAGCCACAGUGGGCAUGGGACCCGGCCCAGACCCCAGGGGGGGGCGGCAGUGGGGAAUUGUGGAAAAGGGGGGAAACCCUGACCCAGCCAGGCCGGGUGGAGGAUGAAGCCCUUUGGGUUGAAACCUGUUUUUGUGGGAAAAAAAAAGCCUUUUUUUAAUAAAGGGGGGUUAAGAGGGUACAAUAAGAAAAACCCCCGGAAAACUAGG
RNAcentral lists this ribosomal RNA (480 nucleotides) under uncultured bacterium. Its description in RNAcentral is "partial 16S ribosomal RNA". It matches the Rfam family "Bacterial small subunit ribosomal RNA", at positions 29 to 505 of the family's 1533-position model. The record is from RNAcentral.